RNAcentral lists this ribosomal RNA (800 nucleotides) under uncultured bacterium. RNAcentral's name for it is "bacterial SSU rRNA". It matches the Rfam family "Bacterial small subunit ribosomal RNA", at positions 9 to 815 of the family's 1533-position model. The record is from RNAcentral.
GAGUUUGAUCCUGGCUCAGAAUCAACGCUGGCGGCGUGCCUAACACAUGCAAGUCGAGCGAGAAAAGGGGGGCAACUCCCCGAGUAAAGCGGCGCACGGGUGAGUAACACGUGGGUAAUCUGCCCUGGAGUGGGGAAUAACACCGGGAAACCGGUGCUAAUACCGCAUACGAUCACGAUGUCUGUGGAUGACGUGAUGAAAGGAGCAAUUCGCUCCAGGAGGAGCCCGCGGCUGAUUAGCUAGUUGGUGAGGUAAUGGCUCACCAAGGCAACGAUCAGUAUCCGGUCUGAGAGGACGGUCGGACACACUGGAACUGAGACACGGUCCAGACUCCUACGGGAGGCAGCAGUGGGGAAUUUUUCGCAAUGGGGGCAACCCUGACGAAGCAACGCCGCGUGGAUGAUGAAGUAUCUCGGUACGUAAAAUCCUUUCGACAGGGAAGAAACCGCAAGGUUGACGGUACCUGUAGAAGAAGCCCCGGCUAACUCCGUGCCAGCAGCCGCGGUAAUACGGGGGGGGCGAGCGUUGUUCGGAAUUACUGGGCGUAAAGGGCGCGUAGGCGGUCUGCUAAGUUGGAUGUGAAAACUCUGGGCUUAACCCAGAGCCUGCAUUCAAUACUGACAGGCUAGAGUUCUGGAGGGGAUAGCGGAAUUCCUGGUGUAGCGGUGAAAUGCGUAGAUAUCAGGAGGAACACCGGUGGCGAAGGCGGCUAUCUGGACAGAGUCUGACGCUGAGGCGCGAAAGCUAGGGGAGCAAACAGGAUUAGAUACCCUGGUAGUCCUAGCCCUAAACGAUGGAUA